RNAcentral lists this ribosomal RNA (322 nucleotides) under Sandona sp. RNAcentral's name for it is "SSU rRNA". The stretch from base 113 to 322 matches the Rfam family "Eukaryotic small subunit ribosomal RNA", at positions 745 to 955 of the family's 1831-position model. The record is from RNAcentral. Lineage: Eukaryota; Cercozoa; Glissomonadida; Sandonidae.
GAUUUCUGGCCGCUCCCCGGUCGCCGGCCACGGUUUCGUGUGUCAGUGCGGCCGGUGUAGGCCAUCCUUCCCGGCGUGCCCGCCGACUCUUCACUGAGCCGGCGGCGGGUCGGGAUCGUUUACUUUGAAAAAAUUAGAGUGUUUCAAGCAGGCUGUAUGCUAUGAAUACAUUAGCAUGGAAUAAUGAUCUAGGACUUCGGUUCUAUUUUGUUGGUUUCUAGGACGGAAGUAAUGAUUGAUAGGGAUAGUUGGGGGUGCUAGUAUUCAGCGGCCAGAGGUGAAAUUCUCGGAUUCGCUGAAGACUAACUUAUGCGAAAGCAUU